UCCAAUGAUUGUAUCCACAUACAGU
Molecule: unclassified non-coding RNA, 25 nt
Filed under: Mus musculus (house mouse)
Lineage: Eukaryota; Metazoa; Chordata; Mammalia; Rodentia; Muridae
Description: oocyte_clustered_small_RNA12076
Source: RNAcentral